CGGAGCACGGCGGAGCUGCCGUGCCGGAGUUGCGAUAUUGACCGAAAGGGGCCCCGGGCCUAAUUUGGGAUUUUUUGGAACACGUGCAGGUACCGUUAGUGCGUUUCAGCUUCCCGGGAAAAAUUCAGGGAAAAUUGGGGACAGCCUGUAGGCGCACUGUGAAGCCGUGUUCGGACCCCUAAACGAGUAAGGACCCCUCACCCUAUUUCCUAUCACGGUAUUAAAGCUUAAUAAAUAAUUAAACGGUAUUUUGAGACUUUAUAGAUGUAUAAUUGAUUGAGAUUGCCAAUGGAGCCCGAGUAUGAUACAAUGUUGGUCUGUUAUUGUUUGAUCUAAUUUUCAGUAUUAAAUGCAGUAUGAGGUUUGAUGUUUUCAUUUUAUAGUUUCGUGUGCAUAUUUUACUGUUUUAUUGAUUAUUGGUUGAAUGACUGAAAUACCGAUACUGUAU
RNAcentral lists this long non-coding RNA (448 nucleotides) under Carica papaya (papaya). RNAcentral's name for it is "long non-coding RNA (CPAP_LNC009494)". The record is from RNAcentral. Lineage: Eukaryota; Viridiplantae; Streptophyta; Magnoliopsida; Brassicales; Caricaceae.